This 254-nucleotide ribosomal RNA is filed under the name uncultured bacterium. Its description in RNAcentral is "partial 16S ribosomal RNA". It matches the Rfam family "Bacterial small subunit ribosomal RNA", at positions 524 to 776 of the family's 1533-position model. The record is from RNAcentral.
UACGAAGGGGGCUAGCGUUGCUCGGAAUCACUGGGCGUAAAGCGCACGUAGGCGGCUUGUUAAGUCAGGGGUGAAAUCCUGGAGCUCAACUCCAGAACUGCCUUUGAUACUGGCAAGCUUGGAGUCCGGGAGAGGUGAGUGGAACCGCGAGUGUAGAGGUGAAAUUCGUAGAUAUUCGCAAGAACACCAGUGGCGAAGGCGGCUCACUGGCUCGAUACUGACGCUGAGGUGCGAAAGCGUGGGGAGCAAACAGG